RNAcentral lists this long non-coding RNA (362 nucleotides) under Phaseolus vulgaris (common bean). Its description in RNAcentral is "long non-coding RNA (PVUL_LNC002036)". The record is from RNAcentral. Lineage: Eukaryota; Viridiplantae; Streptophyta; Magnoliopsida; Fabales; Fabaceae.
AGAUAUUCAGGUUUAUGCCAUAUGGUUCAGAAGUUAGUUAACAUAUUGAAACAGAUGGAUGCAAAGGAUCCUUUUCGAGUUGACAUGACUGACAAGCUUUUGGAAAAACUGUAAGUUCAUUUUUAUUCACUCUCAUAUCAUGUGAACAUAUGAUACCCCAUCAAUUGAUAUAUUAAUAAAAUAUAUUAUUGAACACGGGAAGUCAUAUAUCAAUUACAGCAAUAUACUUGCUGUCCCAGAGACAAAAGUAUUUGCCUUAUUGUACACCUUCUAUCAGAUGUAAUUGUAAUACAUAUCUGCCAUUGUGCAGAGAGUACUGAACUAAUGGUGCCUUGUACAAGUUACUCAUUUUUUUUAUUCUU